CAAAAACAUGUCUAUUACGAAGUUGUUAAUAGUCAGGCCUGCUCACUGACUGGAAGUUUAAGAGCCGCGGUAUAUUGACCGUGCAAAGGUAGCAUAAUAAUUAGUUUUUUAAUUGGAAACUAGUAUGAAUGGUUUGACAAAAGAAAAGCUGUCUCUGUUUUAAAUAUUGAAUUUAACUUUUAAGUGAGAAGGCUUAAAUAGUUUAGGGGGACGAUAAGACCCUAUAAAGCUUUAUAUGGUGUUAGCGUUUUACUGAAUUAUUGUUUAAAAGUUUAGGUUAAUGUUUUAUUUUGUUGGGGCGACAAGAAUAUAAUUAAGAUAACUGUUUUAAGUUUAUACAAUAAUGUUUGGAAAAAAUUAAAUGAUCCUCUAUAGGGAUUUAAAAUCAAGUUACUUUAGGGAUAACAGCGUAAUUUCUUUUGAGAGUUCAUAUCGAAAGAGAAGUUUGCGACCUCGAUGUUGAAUUAAGAUUUCUUUAUUGUGCAGCCGCAAUAAAAGAGGGUCUGUUCGACCUUUAAUUUCUUACAUGAUUUGAGUUCNGAUCGGCGUGAGCGANUGAU
This 560-nucleotide ribosomal RNA is filed under the name Calappula tortugae. Its description in RNAcentral is "partial 16S ribosomal RNA". It matches the Rfam family "Archaeal large subunit ribosomal RNA", at positions 1900 to 2704 of the family's 2987-position model. Lineage: Eukaryota; Metazoa; Arthropoda; Malacostraca; Decapoda; Calappidae. The record is from RNAcentral.